Molecule: non-coding RNA, 806 nt
Organism: Durio zibethinus
Lineage: Eukaryota; Viridiplantae; Streptophyta; Magnoliopsida; Malvales; Malvaceae
Source: RefSeq, a predicted model, not a curated record
GAAGGAAAAGAACUGGCUCAUGGCUACGGGAGCAAGUCUUACAACUUGGUCCAACUUUCAUUAAAAUUGGACAAUUGUUUUCGACAAGAUCAGAUUUAUUUCCCCGUGAGUUUGUCAAUGAGCUUGCCAAAUUGCAGGAUAGGGUCCCUGCAUUCUCACCAGAGAAAGCACGACGAUUCAUUGAGAGCGAACUAGGAGCUCCCAUCGAAGAGCUAUUCAAGGAGUUUGACGACCAACCAAUUGCUGCAGCUAGUCUUGGUCAGGCAAGAAAUUUAAAGCUAAUUGCGGAGUAUUUUCAGAGGAAUGAGACUUUUGGCACAAGGGAUUGGAUUGGUAUAUACAAAGAGUGUGAAAAGUAAGUGGGUAAUUAAUAAAUUUAAUGAUACUCUUCCUUCAUUUAAUGAUAUUAAUUACUACAAUUUAUAAGGCCUUGAUUAAUCAUAAAACUUAGUGCUAAUAUUUUUUAUUCAGAUUUAACAUAUUAAGUUUUGUUAGGUUGUUAAAUUUAUUAUUUUUAGUUUAAAUUUUAAAUUUUAUUGAUUGAUCAUUUUUUGGGGGUCGAUUUAUGCUAGAGAUACUCGUAUUCUGUUAAAAUUCAAAUUUUAGUUUAUUUAUUAUAAUUUAUAUAAAUUUAAAGUUCAUACUAUUUUGAUUUAAUAAAUUUAGUCUAAUCAUAAAUUUUAUCAAUUUUUUUAUAAUUAAAAAUGUUGAUAUGACCAUUGACUUGAUUAUUGGGUAUUAACUUUGUUAAUAUGAUAUUGUCUUUGUUGAUGUGAUAAUUUGAAUUUAUGAAAUCAAUUGUUAAA